Molecule: ribosomal RNA, 377 nt
Filed under: uncultured eukaryote
Lineage: Eukaryota
Description: partial 18S ribosomal RNA
Rfam family: Eukaryotic small subunit ribosomal RNA
Source: RNAcentral
CAAUAGCGUAUAUUUAAGUUGCUGCAGUUAAAAAGCUCGUAGUUGGAUUUCGGGUGGGAAUGGCCGGUCCGCCGUUUCGGUGUGCACUUGCUACGCCCACCUUGCUGCCGGGGACGUGCUCUUGAGUUCACGCUCGGGACACGGAGUCGGCGAGGUUACUUUGAGUAAAUUAGAGUGUUCAAAGCAGGCCUACGCUCUGAAUACAUUAGCAUGGAAUAACACGAUAGGACUCUGGCCUAUCUUGUUGGUCUGUAGGACCGAAGUAAUGAUUAAGAGGGACAGUCGGGGGCAUUCGUAUUUCAUUGUCAGAGGUGAAAUUCUUGGAUUUAUGAAAGACGAACUACUGCGAAAGCAUUUGCCAAGGAUGUUUUCAUUAA